This 2890-nucleotide ribosomal RNA is filed under the name human gut metagenome. RNAcentral describes it as "bacterial LSU rRNA". It matches the Rfam family "Bacterial large subunit ribosomal RNA". The record is from RNAcentral.
AGCGUACACGGUGGAUGCCCUGGCAGUCAGAGGCGAUGAAGGACGUGCUAAUCUGCGAUAAGCGUCGGUGAGGUGAUAUGAACCGUUAUAACCGGCGAUUUCCGAAUGGGGAAACCCAGUGUGUUUCGACACACUAUCAUUAACUGAAUCCAUAGGUUAAUGAGGCGAACCGGGGGAACUGAAACAUCUAAGUACCCCGAGGAAAAGAAAUCAACCGAGAUUCCCCCAGUAGCGGCGAGCGAACGGGGAGCAGCCCAGAGUCUGAAUCAGUGUGUGUGUUAGUGGAAGCGUCUGGAAAGGCGCGCGAUACAGGGUGACAGCCCCGUACACAAAAAUGCACAUGCUGUGAGCUCGAUGAGUAGGGCGGGACACGUGGUAUCCUGUCUGAAUAUGGGGGGACCAUCCUCCAAGGCUAAAUACUCCUGACUGACCGAUAGUGAACCAGUACCGUGAGGGAAAGGCGAAAAGAACCCCGGCGAGGGGAGUGAAAAAGAACCUGAAACCGUGUACGUACAAGCAGUGGGAGCCUCUUAAUGGGGUGACUGCGUACCUUUUGUAUAAUGGGUCAGCGACUUAUAUUCUGUAGCAAGGUUAACCGAAUAGGGGAGCCGAAGGGAAACCGAGUCUUAACUGGGCGUUAAGUUGCAGGGUAUAGACCCGAAACCCGGUGAUCUAGCCAUGGGCAGGUUGAAGGUUGGGUAACACUAACUGGAGGACCGAACCGACUAAUGUUGAAAAAUUAGCGGAUGACUUGUGGCUGGGGGUGAAAGGCCAAUCAAACCGGGAGAUAGCUGGUUCUCCCCGAAAGCUAUUUAGGUAGCGCCUCGUGAAUUCAUCUCCGGGGGUAGAGCACUGUUUCGGCAAGGGGGUCAUCCCGACUUACCAACCCGAUGCAAACUGCGAAUACCGGAGAAUGUUAUCACGGGAGACACACGGCGGGUGCUAACGUCCGUCGUGAAGAGGGAAACAACCCAGACCGCCAGCUAAGGUCCCAAAGUCAUGGUUAAGUGGGAAACGAUGUGGGAAGGCCCAGACAGCCAGGAUGUUGGCUUAGAAGCAGCCAUCAUUUAAAGAAAGCGUAAUAGCUCACUGGUCGAGUCGGCCUGCGCGGAAGAUGUAACGGGGCUAAACCAUGCACCGAAGCUGCGGCAGCGACGCUUAUGCGUUGUUGGGUAGGGGAGCGUUCUGUAAGCCUGUGAAGGUGUGCUGUGAGGCAUGCUGGAGGUAUCAGAAGUGCGAAUGCUGACAUAAGUAACGAUAAAGCGGGUGAAAAGCCCGCUCGCCGGAAGACCAAGGGUUCCUGUCCAACGUUAAUCGGGGCAGGGUGAGUCGACCCCUAAGGCGAGGCCGAAAGGCGUAGUCGAUGGGAAACAGGUUAAUAUUCCUGUACUUGGUGUUACUGCGAAGGGGGGACGGAGAAGGCUAUGUUGGCCGGGCGACGGUUGUCCCGGUUUAAGCGUGUAGGCUGGUUUUCCAGGCAAAUCCGGAAAAUCAAGGCUGAGGCGUGAUGACGAGGCACUACGGUGCUGAAGCAACAAAUGCCCUGCUUCCAGGAAAAGCCUCUAAGCAUCAGGUAACAUCAAAUCGUACCCCAAACCGACACAGGUGGUCAGGUAGAGAAUACCAAGGCGCUUGAGAGAACUCGGGUGAAGGAACUAGGCAAAAUGGUGCCGUAACUUCGGGAGAAGGCACGCUGAUAUGUAGGUGAAGCGACUUGCUCGUGGAGCUGAAAUCAGUCGAAGAUACCAGCUGGCUGCAACUGUUUAUUAAAAACACAGCACUGUGCAAACACGAAAGUGGACGUAUACGGUGUGACGCCUGCCCGGUGCCGGAAGGUUAAUUGAUGGGGUUAGCGGCAACGCGAAGCUCUUGAUCGAAGCCCCGGUAAACGGCGGCCGUAACUAUAACGGUCCUAAGGUAGCGAAAUUCCUUGUCGGGUAAGUUCCGACCUGCACGAAUGGCGUAAUGAUGGCCAGGCUGUCUCCACCCGAGACUCAGUGAAAUUGAACUCGCUGUGAAGAUGCAGUGUACCCGCGGCAAGACGGAAAGACCCCGUGAACCUUUACUAUAGCUUGACACUGAACAUUGAGCCUUGAUGUGUAGGAUAGGUGGGAGGCUUUGAAGUGUGGACGCCAGUCUGCAUGGAGCCGACCUUGAAAUACCACCCUUUAAUGUUUGAUGUUCUAACGUUGGCCCGUAAUCCGGGUUGCGGACAGUGUCUGGUGGGUAGUUUGACUGGGGCGGUCUCCUCCUAAAGAGUAACGGAGGAGCACGAAGGUUGGCUAAUCCUGGUCGGACAUCAGGAGGUUAGUGCAAUGGCAUAAGCCAGCUUGACUGCGAGCGUGACGGCGCGAGCAGGUGCGAAAGCAGGUCAUAGUGAUCCGGUGGUUCUGAAUGGAAGGGCCAUCGCUCAACGGAUAAAAGGUACUCCGGGGAUAACAGGCUGAUACCGCCCAAGAGUUCAUAUCGACGGCGGUGUUUGGCACCUCGAUGUCGGCUCAUCACAUCCUGGGGCUGAAGUAGGUCCCAAGGGUAUGGCUGUUCGCCAUUUAAAGUGGUACGCGAGCUGGGUUUAGAACGUCGUGAGACAGUUCGGUCCCUAUCUGCCGUGGGCGCUGGAGAACUGAGGGGGGCUGCUCCUAGUACGAGAGGACCGGAGUGGACGCAUCACUGGUGUUCGGGUUGUCAUGCCAAUGGCACUGCCCGGUAGCUAAAUGCGGAAGAGAUAAGUGCUGAAAGCAUCUAAGCACGAAACUUGCCCCGAGAUGAGUUCUCCCUGACUCCUUGAGAGUCCUGAAGGAACGUUGAAGACGACGACGUUGAUAGGCCGGGUGUGUAAGCGCAGCGAUGCGUUGAGCUAACCGGUACUAAUGAACCGUGAGGCUUAACC